UUUCAAAAUCAAGUUCUGGUUCCUUUUGGCCGCACAGCUGUGCCUUCAACACCCUCCCCAUCCUGCAGCGAGAAGCCAGAGAGCACCCACUCAGCUGCAGAACUUUCUCCCCUGCGUGUGUGGCGAGGACUCCCUCCUCAUUUCCAGCACCGCGUUCCUCGUCCCCCGGCCCCUGGGCAGUGACGGGCCAGUGCAGUCUACCACUUCGUCUGAUCAAGGCACUGAGUCCUCUACCUCCAUCCCUGGAAUCUGUUCCCCCGUCUGGUUCUGAAGCCACUGUCGCGCGUCCAGGUCAGACUGAGCAUCCCUGAUGCCCAAACCCCGAAUCUGAAAUGCUCUGAAAUUGGGAACUUUCUAGCACCAGGAUGAGGCUCAAAGUUCAGAUUUCAGUGUAUUUUAGAUUUUUGCAUCAGGGAUACUCAGCGGGGAAAGUCUACAACAAUCUCCCCCAAUCUGGAAAACUCUGAAACCUGAAACACCCUGGUCCUGAGCAUCUCUGGUGGAGGAUACUCAGCCGGCACCUGUUUUAACAGCUCCACUUGCGGGUCCAAGUCGCGGGUCAGUUAGCCGGUGCUGCUGCCCCUGGCCACACAGACCCAGCCAGCCUGGGAAGGAUUGGCUCCCAGGCUCUCUGCUGGCAGAACUCAACUCCUCGUGGAUGUAGAAUUAAGAGCCUCUGUUUGCUGCAGGCCACUGGCUGGGUGUCCCAGUUCAUGGCCACCAGGGCUCCCCAGAAUGGCAGCUGGCUGCAGCCAAGCCAGCCGGGGCCCGUGUUCAGGGAGAUGGAUGUCAAGGUCCUAUGUAAUGUAGCCUCAGAAGGGACCCACCCUCCCUUCUCCAUAGUCUGUUGGCUAAUUCUGCCCCGACUCAGGGAGGGUCACCUGAGGGCAUGGAUUCAAGGUGGGUGACCAGGCCGUCUGGAACUCUCCCCACGAGGGGGUCGCAGCUUCUGAGCUCGUGCCCCUCCCGUCGGUGCUCGGACCCCACCCCCUCCUGCUCAGUGACCUGGAGAGCUGGUCUCUAGGCCUCCACUCCUCGGGCUCCUGAUGGAGCGGGUCCUGGCAGACAACCCCUGGCCAGAUGACACACAGAUGGCCCUGGGUCUGCCUUCCUGCCCACUGAGUCCUGGCGAAGGCCCGCCCCCUGUUCUGUGCCCUCUCCUGGCUCCUUUGGGGUGGACCCCAGGCUCCUCCCCUCUGAGCCCAGGGACUGUGGCCCUGAUGUGCCACAGGCCCCACCUGCUCCACCUCCUCACUCUCUGGACGUUCUGGAAUGUUCCCCUGUUGGGCUGGAUGUCCCCUGCUCAUCAUAGUGCUCUCGCGGGUGACAGGGGACACCUCCAGGCCUCUCCCCCAGGACAGAAGGCUGUGGCCUUCCCUGUGGCAGAUAGAUGGGUCUAGAAUAAAACAGCAGGCUUGGAAACCAGCCUCUCAGCCGAACAGGGGCUCCGCGGGGCAGAGGGUCCUCUGUUCCACCUGAGGCUGCACAGGGCUCACACAGACGUGGGCCAGUUAGGCACUGGGAGGCUCCAGACCCCAGACUCCCUCUCUCUGGGGAGGGAACUGAGGCUCAGAGGUGGGAAGGGAAGGGCAAAGGUACCCAGCCAAGGGGUGGAGGAUCCCAGACCUGCUCACAUUCUUCAGACUGACAGCCGUCGCUGCCAGGGGGCAGGAGGACAGGGACCGGGAAGAGGCAGUGCCAAGGGGAGGGGCCAAGGCCACAGUCACGUGACCUUUGCGGGCAGGUGAGUCUCACCUACUAGGCUGAGUGACCUACUCAGGGAGGGUCACCCGAGGGCAUGGACUCAAAGUGGGUGACCAGGCCGUCUGGAACUCUCCCCACAAGGGGGUCGCAGCUUCUGAGCUGUGCCCCACCCACAGGAGCCCAGCCUGGCGUGUGCUCUCUGUAGGGGGUGGGGGAGGGGAGG
Molecule: long non-coding RNA, 1927 nt
Filed under: Marmota monax (woodchuck)
Lineage: Eukaryota; Metazoa; Chordata; Mammalia; Rodentia; Sciuridae
Source: RNAcentral